UCCCGUCUCUGUCCUGACUGUCCUCCAUGUGGCUCCUGUCUCUGUCCUGACUGUCCACCAUGUGGCUCCCGUCAUCCUCCAUGUGAGCAGGUGCUGGCGCUGUCCCGGGAGCUUCAGAGUGUGAGACAGGAGAAGAACGCUGUCCUCGGGGCUCCAGACCGGAGCGGUGUGGACCAGCUGGACGAGCUGCGCUCCGCCGUGGCGUCCCUGUCUGCAGAGAGGGACCAGCUGAAGCUGGACCUGCAGGAGAACGUGGACAUUAUGAUCGAGGUGCAGGAGGAGCUGAGGACGGCCAUGGACAAGAACCGGAAGCAGAAGGAGCUCAUCAAGCAGCUGGAGAGCACGAGGACGUCCCCAGCAGAGGACGGUCCCUCUGAAACCAGAGCUCAGAUAACAUCCCUGAGAGAGGAGCUGCAGAGGGUGGAGGCCGAGCGAGCCGGCCUGCUGGCAGAGAAGGAGUCCAUCCAGCAGAGCUCCUCAGAUCAGAUCCAGGAGCUGCAGGACAAGAUAACAUCUCUGAGUGAGGAGAGAGAGGAGCUGCAGGAGAAAAUAUCAUCUGAGAUUAAAGAGAGAGUGGAAAUGGAGAGAGCUUGUGUGCCGCCUGAGGGAUCCAGCCAGCAAAGCUCCUCAGAUCAGAUCCAGGAGCUGCAGCACAAGAUAACAUCUCUGAGAGAGGAGAGAGAGGAGCUGCAUGAGAAAAUAACAUCCCUGAGAGAGGAGCUGCAGAGGGUGGAAGCAGAGAGAAUCAGUCUGCUAACAGAGAAGGAGUCCUUCCAGCAGAGCUCCUCAGAUCAGAUCCAGGAGCUGCAGCACAAAAUACCAUCUCUGAGAGAGGAGAACAGGGAGCUGCAGCACAAGGUCGCCUCUCUCCAAGAGGAGAGAGAGGAACUACAGGACAAGAUAACAUCUCUGACAGAGGAUCUGCAGAGAGAGCAAGCAGAGCGCGCCGGCCUGCUCACUGAGGAGUCCAUCCAGGAGCUGCAGGACAAGAUAACAUCUCUGAGAGAGGAGAGAGAGGAGCUGCAAGAGAAAAUAUCAUCUCUGAGAGAGGAUCUGCAGAGAGUGGAGGCAGAGCGAGCUGGCCUGCUAGCGGAGAAGGAGUCCAUCCAGCAGACCUCCUCAGAUCAGAUCCAGGAGCUGCAGGACAAGAUAACAUCUCUGAGAGAGGAGCUGCAGAGGGUGGAGGCAGAGCGCGCCGGCCUGCUAACGGAGAAGGAGUCCAUCCAGGAGCUGCAGCACAAGAUAAGAUCUCUGAGGGAGGAGAGAGAGGAGCUGCAGGAGAAGAUAAGGUCUCUGAGCGAGGCUCUGCAGAGAGAGGAAGCAGAGACGGCUGGUCUGAAGUCAGAGAAGGAGUCCGUCCAGCAGAGCUCCUCAGAUCAGCUGCAGCAGCUGCAGGAGGCGGUGGAGACUCUGAGGCAGCAGAGGCAGCAGCUCUGGGCCCAGCUGGACUCGGUAAAGUCGGCCUGUCAUUGGUGAAGUCUGCUGAGCGCUGAAGCAUGCUGAU
This 1504-nucleotide long non-coding RNA is filed under the name Salarias fasciatus (jewelled blenny). Its description in RNAcentral is "lncRNA (ENSSFAG00005017781.1)". The record is from RNAcentral. Lineage: Eukaryota; Metazoa; Chordata; Actinopteri; Blenniiformes; Blenniidae.